RNAcentral lists this ribosomal RNA (706 nucleotides) under uncultured soil bacterium. Its description in RNAcentral is "bacterial SSU rRNA". It matches the Rfam family "Bacterial small subunit ribosomal RNA", at positions 33 to 732 of the family's 1533-position model. The record is from RNAcentral.
ACGCUGGCGGCGUGCCUAACACAUGCAAGUCGAGCGGUAACAGGUGUAGCAAUACAUGCUGACGAGCGGCGGACGGGUGAGUAACGCUUGGGAAUCUGCCUAUUAGUGGGGGACAACCCGGGGAAACUCGGGCAAAUACCGCAUACGCACUACGGUGGAAAGCCGGGGACCGCAAGGCCUGGCGCUAAUAGAUGAGCCCAAGUCGGAUUAGCUAGUUGGUAGGGUAACGGCCUACCAAGGCGACGAUCCGUAACUGGUCUGAGAGGACGACCAGUCACACCGGAACUGAGACACGGUCCGGACUCCUACGGGAGGCAGCAGUGGGGAACAUUGGACAAUGGGCGAAAGCCUGAUCCAGCGACGCCGCGUGGGUGAAGAAGGCCUGCGGGUUGUAAAGCCCUUUCGGUGGGGAAGAAAAGCCUCGGCCUAACACGUCGGGGUAUUGACGUAACCCAUUAAAGAAGCACCGGCUAACUCUGUGCCAGCAGCCGCGGUAAUACAGAGGGUGCGAGCGUUAAUCGGAAUUACUGGGCGUAAAGCGCGCGUAGGCGGUUUUGUAAGUCGGGUGUGAAAUCCCCAAGCUUAACUUGGGAACUGCAUUCGAGACUGCAUAGCUAGAGUAUGGGAGAGGGAAGUGGAAUUUCAGGUGUAGCGGUGAAAUGCGUAGAUAUCUGAAGGAACAUCAGUGGCGAAAGCGACUUCCUGG